AGGGGGGCUGCCCCUGGGAAACGGAGCCUUUCCGUGCCCUGAGCUCUUUAAAAUUCCCCCCGGCCGCCUGUGAGCAGGUCAUUGUCUCCCGAGUCAGGUAGAAACCCUUCCCUCCCCCUCCCCUCCCGCAGCAAUCUGGAGAUAAAGUUCCCAUUCCGGAGCAGCAGCCGCAGGGAAGGAGCCCGUCCUAAGCCAUUCCCGGCGACUUUGCCAACGUGAUAAUAUUGUCCUUCAUCAGCCGCAGGAUUAAGGAGCAGGACAGAGCACGCGGCGCUGUGGAUUAAUGCCUUCAUUUUUUCAAGGUCAAACGCGGAGUUUGUGGGCUGAGAUUUCCAGCGGUUCCUUAUCCAGAGACACAGUGGAUCCAGCAGAGAGAUCCAGCGGAGCAGGGACCCAACCACAGGGCACUGGCAUCCAAUGGAAAAGCAGGAAUGAGGGAUUUAAAGAAGUUUGGAGAUGUUUCUGAAGUUAGGACAGACUUUGGUGACCGUGCACAGCCUGUUCCCACCGGGUUGAUCUUGGGAAAGGUUCUUCUGCUAAAGCCUUAGAGGAUAAUUGAACCCCAUCUAUUAACCAGGAAUUCUAUCCCACCAUCGCUGCUCUGAAGGAUAAAUGGGAGCCUUGUUCCCAUUCCUAGAGGAUAGAAUUUAGACAGACAUGAAUAAACACUUCUCAAACCUUCCCUUCCCUCCCUUUUGGAGGAAGCUGCUGGGGAAGAGAGGGAUCACAGCUCAGUCUCCAGGCUCAAGCUGGGGGAGCACGGAGUGACAAAGUGAAGAUGCUUUAGAGGAGGGAGAAGAAGUUUCUCUACUGGGAGAGGAUGGCUCUGAGGAAAAAACCAGAGUGUUUCUAAGCUGGAUAACAAGGAUUUCCCAAAAUAGCCAAGCAACAAUCCCUGGAGUGGGAAUUCCAGCUGAGGAUCUCCCCUCUCCUGCCACCAGCUCGGAGUUGUCCUUUCCUGCAGGGAGCAGAGGACAGAGAGUGCCUGUGCUGCUCUGGCUGCAGAAAGCACAGAAAGCCUUUCCAGGCUCUCUAUCCUCACAAGAGCAGAAGUCCCUGCCUGUACAUUUGUGCAAAUAAUAAAUAUUUGCCUGGCCACGGUUGGAUUGAAUCCUGA
Long non-coding RNA from Pseudopipra pipra, 1117 nucleotides. RefSeq lists it as uncharacterized. Lineage: Eukaryota; Metazoa; Chordata; Aves; Passeriformes; Pipridae. The transcript is spliced from 2 exons. The record is from RefSeq and is a predicted model, not a curated record.